This 3858-nucleotide long non-coding RNA is filed under the name Anolis carolinensis (green anole). Its description in RNAcentral is "lncRNA (ENSACAG00000040045.1)". The record is from RNAcentral. Lineage: Eukaryota; Metazoa; Chordata; Lepidosauria; Squamata; Anolidae.
AUGGGUGCAACCAUUUUGCUUCUGGCUAUGGCAGUUUCUCUAAUCCCUCCCUUGCUAUCCUCCAGGCUUGAACAGAAGUGGAAAGGGUGCCUUCUACAGCAAAAUGGUAGUGUCUGGAAUGGGUGCUUUGGUUGCUAUGGAGGGAAGAAGGAAAUACGACACAGACCUAGGGUUAACUUACACGCUGCAUGGAAUGUGAAGUGAUCCAAGCCUGCAGCUAAAAGAAGCAAAGACCUUGCACCUCGAAUUCACUGCUGUCAUGGAGGCAGUGCAUCAAUUUACCAGACGGAAGGCUCCUUUUCGCGGUGGAGGGUCUACCAUGCCCUGAAGCUGGCUGUGAAAAGAGCAGCCUUGGUAACAAUCCAUUUUCUCAACUUCAUUCAAGCGGAAGAGCCCAUAAGUCUUGACAUUCUGCCCCCAGCAAUCUAAAGUCUCCUCCCUGCCCUUCCCUUGUUCCACAUGUACUAGGCCAGCAUUUGACAAAGCCCAGGAUUAUUUAAUGAAUGAGCCAAAGAAAGAGCAUCCCUUUCCAUAUCCCCCAUUGCAGCUUUAGAUUCCCCCAGAAAGCAGUGAGAUGAAAUUCAACUCUUUAAACUUCUUAGGUUUUACUGAUUUCCAUGUCACCUGAUUUAAAUACAUGCAAAUACUAAAUGUGUCUUUUGCUCAAGUUGUAAGUAAGCUUCAAAAAUCAGCAGGUAGCCAGCAACAAAAAACUAGGAAACAACAACACAAGUUAAAUAACCCAAAUGGCAUUGUGAGGGUGAAAUGAUUGACAUUCUACUGAUAAAACAAUAUAAUUUUAAACAAGUAUCAUCACCUGGAAUUGUAUUCCUCUAUCACAAAAUGCAUUGAGUGUAUUCUGAACCAAUGUGAAAUAUCAGCCUUACUUACCUUGUAAUGGGGUUGCCUUUGAAGAUAGUUUGGAAACUUCAACUGGUCCAGAGAUUGGCAGCCAGAUUAUUAACUGGAGUGCUGUACAGAGAGCAGACAACUUCCAUGUUGCGGCAGCUCCACUGGCUACCAAUCCGUUUCUAGGCGCAAUACAAAGUAUUGGUCAUUACCUACAAAGCCCUAAAUGGUUUGGGUCCAAACUAUUUGACAAACUGCAUCCCUGCCUAUAAACUCACCCGGAUACUGCAAUCAUUGGAGGAGACCCUCCUCUCAGUCCCACCCAUGUCUCAAGCGCAGCUGGUGGGAAUGAGAGAGGGGGCUUUACGUGUGGUCGUCCCUUCCCUCUGGAACUCCCUCCCUAAAGAAAUCAGAACUGUCCAAUUUCUCCUCUCCUUCAAGAAACACCUAAAAGCUUAUUUGUAUACACUAGCUUAUGGAGAGGAAGAUUAUUAGUUUUUACCAUCGAUUCUAACCUUUUGGACAAAGUUGACAAUGACAACGAUUACUCUAACUUAAUGAAGAGCUAUAUACUUAUAUAUCUUAUAUUCUUAUAUUCAUAUACUUUUAUACUUAAUUUUUUAAUUCAGAUUGUAAUGGUUUAGUCUGUUCGUGGUGUUAUUUAUGAGGCCUGAAUGAGUUACAUGUUUUAGCCAAGGUUGUUCAAUUGUUCUAUUUUUAACUGUUUUUUAAUUGUUUGCUCUAUUUGUCUUAAUCUAGUAUUGUAUAUGGUAUUGAAUGUUUAUCAUUUUUGGAAGCCAUCUUGAGUCCCUCCAGGGAGAGCGGGCAGGUUAAAAAUAAAGUUUAUCCUCCUCCUCCUCCUCCUCCUCCUCCAAGGGACAAACUGAUGAUUCAUGUAGAAGAAUGAUGGUCAAAUAUAAAAGCUUAGUAUAACGUGGAUAUGAUUUUCCCAAACCAUGUGACUUACCACUGGGUAUUGCUUAUCACAGAAAAAGGAAGACAUUCACCUCCUGGAUGUUUUGGAUUUUGAAGCCCCAUCAAUGUGGCCAAUGGGAAGCAACUGUGAGAGUUAUAGUUCAGAAUAUCUAGAAAGCCAAUGGUUCCGCACCCUAAUAUAGGUGCAUCAGAUUUAGAUGGUCUAUCCUAAACUAACAAAUAUGCACCAUGGCCUGACACAAUAACAAGAAAGCAUUUCUCUGUUCUUUAUUCUUUCUUUCAUAUUGGAAGAAAGGCAGGAUACAAAUAAAAUCAGAUCAAAUAAAAUCAAUAAAUAUUACUUCUGCAACCCUGAUUACCUCUGUCCAAAUUUCCCAAUAGCACAUUUGUUUCCACAUUGCAUUUAUGACACCAUGAGGUACAAACUAGGAAUGUACUAAUUCCUGGGAUCCUAUGAAUGAGAGAUCUCCACGAGCUCUGAUCACCAACAGCACUACUCAGUCUGUAGCAUCCUUGACUGAGUCAAUCCACUUGUAAUGACUUCUUUUUUCUACUGAGCAUUAUUUUUUUAUCUCAUGAUAUGUCCAAAGUAUGAUAACCUCACUUUAGGCAUUUUCAUUUCUAGUGGGAGCUUAUACUAGAUAUGCUCUUGGUCACAUUUAUUUAUCUUUUUGACAGCCCAUGGUAUCUGUAGAACACCUUUAGCACCUAUACAUAGAUGUUUUAAACACUUUGGCCUUUUCCAGCUUGAAUGUUUUCUUAUUCCUCUACUGUAAUGGUUAUUCUUCUUCUCAUGCAGAGAUAAUAUAAUCUUAGUUAAUCAGUUUAAUUUUAUGGUCUCCAAUGUUUCUGAGCGAGAGUGCAUUCCGGCAGAAGGACAGAAUACAAAUCAUAGAAAGAAAGGAAUAUGCAAACACACACACACACACACACACACAAUCUCCCAUGAGAAGAUGCUGGAAACAGCACUAAAAAUAAUCAAAUAUUUAGGGGACUGAUAAGCAACACUAGUCAGAAAGAGAUCCAACAACUUCUUAUGCCACCUCAGACAUAUCAGGUUCAUAAGUAAAGCUGCUCUUUCAAAGCUGUCAAUAAUGCAGGGAAAAUGGAUGACCCUGCAAAUUACAGACCUAUUAGCCUCCUCAAUACAGUUAGCAAAUUAUACACAAGACAUCUACAAUGGAAACUUCAGGAGUGACUGGAACAGGAAAACAUACUUGCCGAGGAGCAAGCUGGAUUUAGGGAAGGACAAUCCAUCAUAGACCAAUAUCUCGUAUUAUAACAUCUAAUGAAGACAACAUAGAGCGAAGAUGUGUUAGGGGAAGAGUAUUUUCUCUUCCCCUAACACAUCUAUGUCACCUUCAUAGACUUUAAAGCAGCUUUUGACUCCAUUUCCUGAGUUAGGUUAUGGGAAAAACUUGAGACCUCCUCAAUCGACGACUGCUAUUCUUAAUCUGCCUAUUUCUUGAAAGGACCUCACUCAAAACAAGAUACAACCCUCAGGGCCACCUAACCAAUGCAGUAGGAACUGAGAAAGGUGUCAAGCAAGGUUGCAUUUUGGCUCACUACUUUUCAACUUUUACAUCAACUUCCUGGUGGAUCAUCUUCUCAACAUGGACUUUCACUCCACAAAACUUGCAGGAAGACAUAUCUCCACCUUUCUUUAUGCAGAUGCUGCUGUACUACUUUCAAGAAUAUCUAUUGGUCUAAAAAGAGCAUUGAGAGCAUUAAUACAAUACUGCAAUGCAGAUCAGUUAUAAUUCAACUACCAGAAAACAAAAAUCAUGGUAUUUGCCAAAGGACCCAAGAGUCACUUCUGGAGUAUAGACGGACAUAAAAUCGAGUAGGACCCAUGUUUCAAAUAUCUGGGAGUAGCUUUUCACUCUUCCAACAGUAGAAAAGCACAUGGGAACCAUGUGACUGAGGUGAUGAAGGAGCUCUAUAGCCACCCUAAAAUACCUCAAGACUAAAAUACCUGAAGCCAAAUCAGUAGCACAGCUCCUGUAUGGGGCCAAGCUUGGCCCCUUCUCCAAUUUUGCCCCACUCAAGCUUGUGCAAUCAAAAAUUUUAAGA